This 492-nucleotide ribosomal RNA is filed under the name uncultured bacterium. RNAcentral's name for it is "partial 16S ribosomal RNA". It matches the Rfam family "Bacterial small subunit ribosomal RNA", at positions 29 to 507 of the family's 1533-position model. The record is from RNAcentral.
ACGCACGCUGGCGGCGUGCUUAACACAUGCCAGUCGACGGUGAAGCGCCUUCCUUUUUGGUGGGUGUGGAUGAGUGGCGAACGGGUGAGUAACACGUGAGUAACCUGCCCCCUUCUUCUGGAUAACCGCAUGAAAGUGUGGCUAAUACGGGAUAUUCUGGGUCUGUCGCAUGAUGGGUCUGGGAAAGAUAUUGUUUCGGUGGGGGAUGGGCUCGCGGCCUAUCAGCUUGUUGGUGGGGUGAUGGCCUACCAAGGCGGUGACGGGUAGCCGGCCUGAGAGGGUGGACGGUCACACUGGGACUGAGACACGGCCCAGACUCCUACGGGAGGCAGCAGUGGGGAAUAUUGCACAAUGGGCGCAAGCCUGAUGCAGCGACGCCGCGUGAGGGAUGGAGGCCUUCGGGUUGUGAACCUCUUUCGCCAGUGAAGCAGGCCUGCCUCGUUUGUGGGUGGGUUGACGGUAGCUGGAUAAGAAGCGCCGGCUAACUACGUG